UCUUUCUUCUCUUCUUCUUCUUUUCUUCCUCGCCAGCGCCGUUUCUCUCCCUCUCCGUCGAUUUUCCGGCCACCUUAGCUUAUAACUGGCCGACUCCACCUCUUCCUCACCAGCACUACUCCAGCGACUCCCCUUCCUAUUUCCAGUCGGUUUUAACGCAAAAAGGAGAUGAAGAACGAUGAUGUGCCACAGUCGAUUUCUCGUCAAUCCUUGCCGAUUCCGGCGGCUUCAGGUCAUGAGGUGAGCGCCGGUCGAUCCCUUUCCUCCACGUGAUCAUUUUCCCUAAAAUAAUUCCGUUGAUGGAGCAUGGAGGACGAAACCACCAUGAGCAGUGGAGAUACAGCGACUUCAGGCUCGAUUUCGGCCAAACGAGCUAGUAGCUCUGCAAACGGAAGGUGGAUUUGAACUCCUCAUGAAAUUGCGAGUCGAACAUUGGGAUCGCUGCAAAAUUCUGGGCGAUCUCGAUUUUCCGGCAACCGUGCAUGGAGGCGACAGCGGCGAUCCGGCGAAUCGCCGGCAAGUCUCCGGCGAGGCCCCUAGAGGCAGAAUCAUCUUCUCCUCGUGCAGAUUGUGGAAUCGUAGUCCGAUUUUCGAUUGGUAGUAGAUACUUCUUUGUUUCGGUUAAAGCUCAUUCUCCUUCCCCGCAGAACUAGAAAAAUAACUUUUAGAAUCUACAGUUAUUUAAGUUAUGUAACUAUAUGUAUUAAAAUAUAUUUAUAUUUAUUUGUUAGUGAACUCGCAGUUGUAGGAUUGUAAUCGAUAAACUGAUGAGGAGGUUUAGUUAUUUAUUUUUGUGAAUGCAUGAAUCUAUUAGCCCACGUUAAGGAUGUUUUGUAUUAUAAUUGGGCCCAAACUAUAAAAUGUUUAAAAUGUU
Jatropha curcas is the source of this 874-nucleotide long non-coding RNA. RefSeq lists it as uncharacterized. The record is from RefSeq and is a predicted model, not a curated record. NCBI's taxonomy places the organism in Eukaryota, Viridiplantae, Streptophyta, Magnoliopsida, Malpighiales, Euphorbiaceae.